Molecule: long non-coding RNA, 806 nt
Filed under: Nicotiana benthamiana
Lineage: Eukaryota; Viridiplantae; Streptophyta; Magnoliopsida; Solanales; Solanaceae
Description: long non-coding RNA (NBEN_LNC009285)
Source: RNAcentral
CAUUGCUUUUGUAGAGCACCAAAGAAGUAUGGAGAAGGACCCUGAGAAGAAGAAAUACCCUGGUGGGGCUUUUGACCCAUUGGGCUACUCAAAAGACCCUAAAAAGUUUGAGGAACUUAAAGUCAAGGAAAUAAAAAAUGGUAUAGAACUUGACUCCACUCCUAUUAUGCAUUUCAUAUUUUUCUUAUAAAGACCCUAAAAAGUUUGAGGAACUCAAAGUCAAGGAAAUCAAAAAUGGUAUAGAACUUGACUCCAUUCCUUUUGUGCAUUUCACAUUGUUUUUAUGAAUUUAAGUUAUAUAUACUAAUAGGAGAGUCUGGAGGUCUAGUAUCAAGGUUGUAGGAUAGGGGACUUAUAGUUAGUGGUCGGUGUUUUUGCAUCCCAUUUUAUUUACUGAAUGUGGCUAAAUUAUUAUGUGUGGAUGCUCAUUUACUUCUGUUUUUGUUUACCUUUUCCUUUUGCAUGUCAUGUUACUUAUGGUCUAUGUUUAUAUAAUUAUGUAUCGUGAUUUCUGCUGGAGUUACUAAUGCUCUUUUAUUUUUGUUUUUGUCUGUGUUUCUGUUUUUCCUUUUCUUUUUCUAAGCCGAGGGCCUGCUGGAAACAGCCUCUCUAUCCUUUCGGGUGGUGGUAAGGCAUGCGUACAUAUUACCCUCCCCAGACCCCACCGUGGGACUAUACUGGAUAGUAAUUAUUGUUAUACUAAUAGUGUAAGAAUUUUUUGUAACGUCUUGGUCAUUAAAAUGUCUCGUGGGUUCGAGGAUCGAUUUGCUAACGCUCCUUUAUGUGGUAUGUUUGUUACUUGUUAG